CUAACACCAACCUUAAGCCUAGGUUCGUUACUACGUUUGUAUUGACUAUGUCAAUGUUGAUUAUUAUGAUCGCUGUCUUAGGACUGCACGGCAGCGAGGGGAUUGUGGAUCUUAUAUUAAUGUUUUUGUGUCGAGGCAGUGCAUUAGCACUACAGGUGCUUGUUACAUGAGCAAGGGGGGUGUCAUCUUUUGAGUGCCAUGUCUGCAUUAGGAAUGCUGCAUUUGUCUUCCGAGGCUGCGGUGUGGAUCUCGCACUGCGGCCGCCUCACCUUGGCUGGGGAGAACCUCGGUGGGCAGGAUUCAGAGGGGCUUUUGGUUUCCCGUUUUCCACACUGAACCCUUCUAUCUGGUUUCUGACCCUGAUUAUUCAGGGCUGCAAACAGGAAGGAUUUUAUUCACCGUCGAUGCGGCCCCGAGUUGUCCCAAAGCGAGGCAGUGCCCCCAAGGUCCGUGCUGAGGAGAACGCUGCUCUGCCUUCGCGGUGUCCCCCGGGUCUGUGCUGAGCAGAACGCAGCUCCGCCCUCCCGGUGCCCCCGGCCCGCCCGGGUCUGUGCCAAGGAGAACACUGCUCCGCCUUCGCUGUAUCUCCGAAGUCUGUGCACAGGAGAACUCAGCUCCGCCCUCGCGAUGCUCUCCGAGUCUGUGCUGAGCACAACGCAGCUCCGCCCUCGCAAAGGCACAGCGCGGGCGCAGGCGCCCAGAGGCGCACAGGAGACCUCAGGCCCAGACUCCACUCCCCAGCUGUGAAAGGACUGCUGGCCAGACCCCCAAGCUAGCCCGCCAGGCCUCCAUAGAGCUGCCCAGCAUGGCUGCAUCCAGUACCAAGAGUUGGUGGGAGACGGGUGAGGUAUAGGCUCAGUCUGCGGCCAAGACUCCGUCCUGCAAGGAUAUUGUGGCUGGAGACAUGAGCAAGAAAAGCCUCUGGGAGCAGAAGGGAGGCUCCAAGACCUCAUCAACAAUUAAGAUGGACUCUGUGACUACAUGACUAAUAAAAUAUGGCAGAAAUGACACCAUGCAGUUUCCAAGCCCAGGCCUUAGGAGACAGGCAGCUUCCAGUUCAGUCUUUUGGAGGGUCAGCUCUGGGGCCCUCAGCCAUCACGCAUGGAGUCCAACCACCCUGAGACGUCAUGCUGGAGACCCACCUGUGGAUGCCCCAGUCAAGAGUCCUGGCUGAGCCCAGCCUCCCAGCCACCCCCACCCAGGGCACCAGACCACGGAGCUUCUGGCCAAGGCUUCACCAACUUCACUUGAUGCUGUGAGGAACAGAACUGCCCAUCCAAGCCCUGCCAGAAUUUCUAACCCACAAAGCCACGAGUCACAAUAAAUGCUAUGGGACAAAAACAGUCAUGCAUGUUGCUUUUGUCAUACAUUAGUGGUAGUUCAUUGCACGGCAAUAGAAAACCAAAAUAUCUGUCUACUGGGUUCGUCCAUUUGGAUGCCACAGAGGCACCUGAAACAGAACACGUUCAUUACUUAACUCUGGUUCUUCCUUCCACACUGACCUCCACCCACUGCUCCCAAGGUUGCCCCUCCUCCAGAGUCCUCCUCCAUCUCCAACAUAGUAUCACCAUCUCCCCAGGAACUCAAGUGUGAAGGCAGGGGUCAUGUUUGGCGUCUGUCACCCUUUGCGAGUUGCAACCUGGAGACCCUGGAGGAUGUUAUGAUGAGUGAAAUAACCUAAUCACAAAAGGACUAAUACUCCACAAAUUCACUUAUAUGAGGAGUCUAGGAGUCAAAUUCCUAGAGACUGAAAGAACGGUGGUUGUCAGGGGCUGGGGAGAAUGGGGAGUUCAUAUUUAAUGGGGGCAGAGUUUCAGUUUUGCCAGACGAGAAUAACCUGGAAAUGGAUGGUGUGAUGUUUGCACAAUGUGAACGUACUUUACUCCACUAUACACUUGAAAGUGGGUGCAAUGGGAAAGUUUAUUUGAUGAGUUUUUUACCACAAUUAAAAAUAUAAC
Molecule: long non-coding RNA, 1958 nt
Filed under: Homo sapiens (human)
Lineage: Eukaryota; Metazoa; Chordata; Mammalia; Primates; Hominidae
Description: HSALNT0295194
Source: RNAcentral